RNAcentral lists this ribosomal RNA (484 nucleotides) under uncultured bacterium. Its description in RNAcentral is "partial 16S ribosomal RNA". It matches the Rfam family "Bacterial small subunit ribosomal RNA", at positions 32 to 507 of the family's 1533-position model. The record is from RNAcentral.
AUUCAACGCUGGCGGCAGGCCUAACACAUGCAAGUCGAGCGGAUGAAGGGAGCUUGCUCCUGGAUUCAGCGGCGGACGGGUGAGUAAUGCCUAGGAAUCUGCCUGGUAGUGGGGGAUAACGUCCGGAAACGGGCGCUAAUACCGCAUACGUCCUGAGGGAGAAAGUGGGGGAUCUUCGGACCUCACGCUAUCAGAUGAGCCUAGGUCGGAUUAGCUAGUUGGUGGGGUAAAGGCCUACCAAGGCGACGAUCCGUAACUGGUCUGAGAGGAUGAUCAGUCACACUGGAACUGAGACACGGUCCAGACUCCUACGGGAGGCAGCAGUGGGGAAUAUUGGACAAUGGGCGAAAGCCUGAUCCAGCCAUGCCGCGUGUGUGAAGAAGGUCUUCGGAUUGUAAAGCACUUUAAGUUGAGAGGAAGGGCAGUAAGUUAAUACCUUGCUGUUUUGACGUUACCAACAGAAUAAGCACCGGCUAACUUCGUG